This 379-nucleotide ribosomal RNA is filed under the name uncultured cyanobacterium. RNAcentral describes it as "bacterial SSU rRNA". It matches the Rfam family "Bacterial small subunit ribosomal RNA", at positions 376 to 770 of the family's 1533-position model. Lineage: Bacteria; Bacillati; Cyanobacteriota. The record is from RNAcentral.
CGAAAGCCUGACGGAGCAACGCCGCGUGAGGGAUGAAGGCCUCUGGGCUGUAAACCUCUUUUAUCAAGGAAGAAGAUCUGACGGUACUUGAUGAAUAAGCCACGGCUAAUUCCGUGCCAGCAGCCGCGGUAAUACGGGAGUGGCAAGCGUUAUCCGGAAUUAUUGGGCGUAAAGCGUCCGCAGGCGGUCUUGAAAGUCUGUUGUUAAAGCGUGGAGCUCAACUCCAUUUCAGCAAUGGAAACUAGAAGACUAGAGUGUGGUAGGGGCAGAGGGAAUUCCCGGUGUAGCGGUGAAAUGCGUAGAUAUUGGGAAGAACACCAGUGGCGAAGGCGCUCUGCUGGGCCAUAACUGACGCUCAUGGACGAAAGCCAGGGGAGCG